UCAGCACCGAUAACGGCGUCAACUUCGAGAGUACGUUUCUCGCCGGCGCCGUUAGUUUUGGAAUCGUACGAUGUGUAGUGAAGAACGUAAGGUGCAUUCGCGGCUUUCGGCAUGUCCAUUUUGAGAAACAAGCCAUUGAGAACGGCAGCUCCGGCGUCGGCAGCACGGCCACGGAGGUAAGCAUCGAGUACUUCGCGGCGCACCAUACCGAUAUACUCGUGAGGCUUUAAUGUCUGUCCGAUAUCUACAGCAACGUUGGAUGGAGAAAUCAUCUUCAUCUUGGUAACUUUUCUGUCGAUGAUAUCAAGAGGAAGAUCGAAUUCCCCCACCAUACAAAGCGGAAUAGCACCACCGCAGGGUUUGCAGUUAUCC
This 372-nucleotide long non-coding RNA is filed under the name Capsicum annuum. Its description in RNAcentral is "long non-coding RNA (CANN_LNC004027)". Lineage: Eukaryota; Viridiplantae; Streptophyta; Magnoliopsida; Solanales; Solanaceae. The record is from RNAcentral.